RNAcentral lists this ribosomal RNA (274 nucleotides) under uncultured bacterium. Its description in RNAcentral is "partial 16S ribosomal RNA". It matches the Rfam family "Bacterial small subunit ribosomal RNA", at positions 523 to 796 of the family's 1533-position model. The record is from RNAcentral.
AUACGGAGGGUGCAAGCGUUAAUCGGAAUUACUGGGCGUAAAGCGCGCGUAGGCGGCUUAUUAAGUCAGAUGUGAAAUCCCCGGGCUCAACCUGGGAACUGCAUCUGAUACUGGUAAGCUAGAGUUUUGGAGAGGGAAGUAGAAUUUCAGGUGUAGCGGUGAAAUGCAUAGAGAUCUGAAGGAAUACCAGUGGCGAAGGCGACUUCCUGGCCAAAAACUGACGCUGAGGUGCGAAAGCGUGGGUAGCAAACAGGAUUAGAAACCCUAGUAGUCC